This 4584-nucleotide unclassified non-coding RNA is filed under the name Hevea brasiliensis (rubber tree). The record is from RNAcentral. Lineage: Eukaryota; Viridiplantae; Streptophyta; Magnoliopsida; Malpighiales; Euphorbiaceae.
GCUUACUGUAUCCUUCUCCAUCCGCACUCAGAACACAUGGCUUUCGCUUCCUGGCUCUCUCGCUUCCGCUCUUCUUCCAAAGCUGCCUACACCAAUCUCCGCAGCUCCUUUUUCCUUAAUCUCAGGCCUCAAACCACACUAGCCACCUCGAAUCUCAUCGACUCCGGCGCUGCGAAACGGCCAUUUCUGUUAUGGUCAAGCUCUCUCCUUCCUCUGACCCUCGCUGUCUCUGCUGGAUCACUCGCCUUCCAUUUCCAACCUCAGCCUUCUCUUUGUGACGCCUCUAAUCUCGAUUCUCGCAUUGGAGGCAAAGAUAGCACCGAGUUUGUGGUAAAGGGUUCUCACAAGAAGGUCCCUCAAGAGCUUAUUGAUGAAUUAAGGGCUAUCUGUCAGGAUAACAUGACAAUGGAUUAUGAUGAAAGGUAUUUCCAUGGGAAGCCACAGAACAGUUUUCAUAAAGCAGUAAAUAUCCCUGAUGUGGUUGUUUUCCCGAGGUCAGAAGUGGAAGUUUCCAACAUUGUCAAAUCUUGUGACAAGUAUAAGGUCCCUAUAGUACCUUAUGGUGGAGCUACAUCAAUUGAGGGCCACACAUUAUCACCUCAUGGUGGUGUUUGCAUUGACAUGUCACUAAUGAAGAGUGUUAAAGCUCUGCACAUUGAGGACAUGGAUGUAGUUGUUGAGCCUGGAAUUGGGUGGAUGGAGCUUAAUGAAUAUUUGGAGCCUUAUGGUCUAUUCUUUCCCCUUGAUCCAGGUACAUUUACAAUUUACUUACCUUGUACAUUUUUAUACUAUUAUUAUGAUAUGGCUUAUUUAAAGUUGAAAAUUUUAAAUUUCAAGCUUUUAACUGGAGUUUUCCAUCUAUAUAUAUGCCAUGUAAAAGCAUAAUGUGGAUAUUGACAAUCAUUUUUUUGUUUGCCUUAAAGGUGGUGAAAAUAAAUAAUCCAGUAAUGUGGCUUGAUGUGCUAAAGAUUCUUUUUUUUGGUCUAUGCUGUGAUUAUUAUUAUUAUGUUCUUCAUACAUGUUGAUAAGCAGGGCCAGGUGCAACCAUUGGGGGAAUGUGUGCUACACGUUGCUCAGGCUCUUUAGCUGUGAGGUAGUUCCUGUAAUCCUGUGCUUCACUGGCUGUCAUAGUUUCAUUUAUUUUGAUGUACUAUUCAUAUAAAUUAGCUUCGUAUCAGCAAAUUAGUUAGAUAACUCUUAUGUAUUAAUUUUUUACUGUUUUAUUUUUUUUUAAUUGGUCAAUAUACGUGCGAAAACAAGUUUCAUCUCAUUUAUAUAUUCUUCAACAAUUUUGAUAUUUUUCUUAUACUUUCUAAUCCUAUUUUUGCUUGAACAACCAAAUGGAUAUUGCUUUUCUUGACAUGUUCAGGGCAUAGGCCAUUUUAGUGUCACAUAUGGACUCCAUUUGUCUUCUUUGUUGUUGGAAUCCUCAUUGACAAUAGAAACACCUGUACGCAACAAGUUCAGAAGCAGCUGCUUUAACUAGUGAUCUUUUGCCAUAACCUUGGUUGAAUUCUUGAAAUAUUUGAAAAUAUGGGGACACAAAAGGCUGUUUGACAAGGGUUUUCUUGUGUUUAAUUUAACACCAGAAAUAUACUUGCUCUGCAUUGGUUUGGAUGAGCCAGGAUUGUUUGUUUCCUUAAUAAGUACAAAUUCAUUUGGGUUUCACUAUCCCUUGCUUUGCAUUGGUUGCCUGCCAUCAAAAUAUCCCUUUAAUAUCACCACCAUGAAUCAUAUAUUCUGUUACUGUUCCCUGUCCAAUAUGAAUGCUCAUGUAUGGAUACCAAUUGAUCAUGCUUCAGCAGUGAGAGAUUUUUAUUUUUAAAAGUUCUUUAGGAUGGUUUAGUUGUAAUGUAAAUAUGAUGUCUUGAAGCACAGUAUGAUGCUGCCUUAGUGCAUUUGUUAUGUAUAUGAUGCUGCCUUAGUGCAUUUGUUAUGUAUGAAAUCCCCUUGUUAUGGCAAUAAAUAAUUUGCUUGACCAGCAUUUAUUAGAAUAGAAUUAUAAUUUACUUCUUGUCAUGCUUCUUAACUAGGAUGCAGUGCAUGGGAUGGUCAGGAAAUAUAUGCUUUUUCCGUAUUAUAUUUAAUCUUACAUUAAUCAUAAUUUUUUUUUGGUAGUGAUUUGUACACAUAAUUUUAUCUCAAUCUUAGAAAAUAAGAAACUGUUUAGAUAAUCAUAUUUAUUUUUGGAAUUAAUGAUUCUGUUUUUAGCUUUUAGGUACGGAACUAUGCGAGACAAUGUCAUUAAUCUCAAGGUUUUCUACCUCUCCUUCUAAGUCUGGUUCCUUAUAAGGAGGUUUGAUUUCUUAACACUACUUCUAAUCCAGGUAGUUCUUGCCAAUGGAGAUGUUGUCAAGUCAGCUUCCCGUGCUCGUAAAAGUUCUGCAGGGUAUGAUUUGACUCGCUUGAUGAUUGGAAGUGAAGGAACACUUGGCAUAAUAACGGAGGUCACCUUACGACUUCAGAAAAUUCCACAACAUUCAGUGGUUGCAAUGUGUAAUUUUCCAACAAUUAAGGAUGCAGCAGAUGUUGCCAUUGCCACUAUGCUGUCUGGGAUACAGGUGUCGAGGGUAGAACUGUUGGAUGAGGUUCAAAUAAGGGCUAUUAAUAUUGCCAAUGGGAAGAAUUUACCUGAAGUUCCUACUUUGAUGUUUGAAUUCGUAGGCACGGAGGCAUAUGCACGUGAGCAAACACUAAUAGUUCAGGAGAUCGUUUCUAGGCACAAUGGCUCAGAUUUUGUUUUUGCAGAACAGCCUGAAGCUAAAAAGGAACUUUGGAAGAUAAGAAAAGAGGCUCUGUGGGCUUGCUUUGCAAUGGAACCAAAAUAUGAGGCAAUGAUUUCGGAUGUGUGUGUUCCUUUAUCACAUCUGGCAGAAUUGAUAUCAAGGUCUAAAGAAUAGUUGGAUGCAUCCCUACUGGUUUGGUAUGCAUUAUCUGUAUAAAUAUAUCUUCCUGAGAUUUCAAAGGUUUAAUUUCCUUAUUGAUGUGUGCUGUCCAUUGAAUUGACAGUGUUAAUUUAUUUUCCUACUGUCUCUCAAAUUACAGCACAGUUAUUGUUCAUGCUGGUGAUGGGAAUUUUCAUACUGUGGUUCUUUUUGAUCUUAGCCAAGAAGGGCAGCAGCGAUUUUAUGGUCCAUAUUGCUUUGUCAAUGGAAGGUGCCUACUUCUGCAUGUAUGCUUCUGUUAGACAGUGAAUACUUGAAGACUUCACAAGCCAUUAGUCAAUGAUGCUUCACAAAAUCACUUCCUACUUCCCUAUACAUUUGUUCCUACCUUUCUUUCUAUACUUUUUUCUUUAAACAAUUUCCAGUGCUAAAACAUCUCUCCCUUUUUUUGGUUUUUUUGGUUAGGAACAUGUAGCGUGAACAUGGUGACAGCACUGGGAAAAUGAAGGUAUUUUGCUUGUUGCUAUAAACCUCUGCACAUUAUCAUCUCAAAAGUUGUUGCAACUCCAUGUUGCUUUUGUUAGCAAAUUUGUUGUAACUUGUGCAGCAGGUUAGUGGGUUAAAAAAAAAGAAGCUGAUAUUAGCUCUCAAAUAAAUCCUGAAAAAUCCCAGCAAGUUUUUGCUUAAACUUUAAAACUCAAUGAGAAAAACUGAUUUUAUUAGCUGAAAAAAAAAUGUCUUUAACACUAAAUAUUUAUAAGGAAACCUGUUGCCCAAAUGGAAUUCCUAAAUUAACUAGGAACUUGACUAAAAAAACAUAAAUCCUGUUUAAAAUUAAAGUCCUAAACCAGCAAGGAAUUUGACUAAAAUAGCAUACAUCCUAGAGAAAUUAGAAAAGAAAAGUCAACGAUAUGUAGGCUGUCUAGGUCAGUUUCACCCAACUGGAUCACUAUCUCUGUAUGAAUAAUGACCAUAGAUAUUUUCUUAUUUCUGAACUUGAAUUUUCAUCUCUUGAUGCAGACAUGAUUACAUAAAAGACAUUUUUAAUUGGCUACCUAUUAUUACAUUUUGACCAGUUAUAUCACAGCUUCGGAUCCUCACACAUAGGUCUAUUACCAUUUGUUAGCUUCAGACUUUGGGAAUGAUACUGAAGGGUAAUAUGCUUUCCAAAAUCUCCUCCUCUGAACCCCAAUUCGCUGGGUUCAUAGCUAGAUUAUGCCUCUAUUAGGAUUCAGUUAAAAGAUGAAUUUAAAGGCAAAAUUCUGCUUCAUUUGCCACUGUUAGUUCAUGACCAAGAUUGAGCAUAAAUGAUGCAGUAUGAUUGAUUGUCCAAUUAAAUGUUAGCAAAAAGUACCCAUGAACACACAUACAAAUUAGAAAUUAAAGAGAGAGAAAGCCAUUACAAAGAUUUUAUGUGGUUUGGCAAGUGUGCCUACAUUCAGGGAUGGUGUCCUGCUUUUUCAGAAUUGAAAGGAGAUCAUUAUAGCCUACUUAAAUAGACCCUACGGUUAAUCCUUGUAUAAAUAGGAUUUAUAUAAUCAUCCCAGUAAUAAUAAAAGAUGGCCAAUACCAUCAAUACCGGACUGUACCUCAUCAUGUACUGGGGUAAACCUUAAAUUCUUCUCCAAUAAACAUGAGCCAUAACCCAUGUUGAAGAUUAUGGUACCCAAUCGUGUUUAUUUUUUCUUGUCAAUUUUAG